Long non-coding RNA from Lagopus muta (rock ptarmigan), 3693 nucleotides. RefSeq lists it as uncharacterized. NCBI's taxonomy places the organism in Eukaryota, Metazoa, Chordata, Aves, Galliformes, Phasianidae. The record is from RefSeq and is a predicted model, not a curated record. The transcript has 3 exons.
GAAAGGGCAGGACGAGAGGGGACAAAGGGAGACGGGACGGAGAAGGAGGGGGGUGGAAUCGCGGAGAAAAGGCAGAAAGAGCGGAGGGAGAAAUGGGGCAAAAGUUGGAGGGAGAAGGGAGAGGAUGGGGAAAGGGUUUGGGGAGCCCGGAGGUGGAAAAGAAGAAAACAAAACUUGUUUUUUCUUUUCUACUUUCAUUUUCCUGAAACACGGGAGAAAGUCCCGAAGUGUUGGGAGGAGACGGCGGAACUGAAAGCAUCGGGCUGAGAGCGAGUUUCUUUGUUCUUCACCGUGACAAGCAGAGCUUUCUUCCUUAUUGUCACUGUUUGGCAUCGUAAGCGGAAUCUUCUUUCAUCUUUUCCCCUGCGAUGAGGAUGCUGUGACGAUGCUCUGGAAGAGGCAGCGAUUCACUCUGCUCCAGGAUUUAGCUCUGCCCUCAGCUGAGCCACAGAUGCUGCGGAGAGGUUGCCAGGGAUGCAGACACAAUCCUACCUCCAGGUUUUUGCUGCAUCCCCGCUGCCGAGCGAGAUAUGGAUCAUACCCGGGAUUAUCGCCCAUCCGACUGGGAGGAAGGGAUGCUGAGAUGUCGGGUUGCAAGGGAGAUGGAUCUGGGCACCAGGUUUUCGUGCCGUCUCGGUGCCGUGGGGUGGGAGUGGGGUGUGGGGACCCCCCCAGUGAUGCGGGGUGCGGGAUUUUUCAGUUCUGGUGCCGCUGCUGUGCUCACGGUGAGGUCUCUGUGGCGCAAUGGACGAGCGCGCUGGACUUCUAAUCCAGAGGUUCCGGGUUCGAGUCCCGGCAGAGAUGAUCUCCAGGCAGGUGUCUCUUUUAUUUUACGUCUAUUCGUCCAUAAAUCCCCAUCCUGCUCCUUUACGACACCCCAGAAGGCUUCAGGCGGGAGAUGAUGACUUUUCACGGCGGCGUCUCGGCCGCUGAUGCUCGCAGUGCUCGCAUGCUCCCCAUCCAAGGUGCGUUUCCUCCACCAUGUUCCCCUUCCCUCGUUCUUUUCGGUAGCUCCUGGGUGCUUUGAUGUUUUAACCCUGUUUGUUCCCCCAGUUCUGCUUGUUGGACCUGUCUGAUGCUUUAAGCAAGCUGCUGUGUUUCCAGUAGAAAUCCAGUGGUCAGGCAGUGGUUUGGAACCUUGUGUUGAUAUUUCGUUUGAUAAGUGUGGCUUGUCUUUCAAAUAUAUGGAAAAAGCAAAAACAACAGUAGGUCGAUAUUCUGAGUUCUUACCUUACAGAAAUCUUCUGCAAAUGCCCUUAUUUUUCAUGUUUUCAUGUUGAUGAUGCACGUUUGCUGGCAGCCACCUCCAUAUCCCCAUGGAGGUUCAUCUUUCAUAGAAUCUCCUUCUGGGAAGGCUAAAAAAAAAAAAGUCCAAAGAAAUAAUGUGCGUGACCUCAGGGGUUGGAUGUGGAUGGAGCCCAAAACAGUGGGGAGGGAGAGCAGCAAAAGCCUUACAUGAGAAGGUUCCAUCGUGGUCCCAUUCCUCUGGAUGGAGGGGGGAAAAAAAUAUGAAUGCCAGAGCCCCGGCUCCAUGUCCAGCAGCUCCAUCACCCUGAGCAUCUCCUAUGGUGAGUGCUGAGAACUGCUCUGUGCUGUCCUGGGACAAACAGCCCCGUGCAUAUGGGAGGCAGAACUGUUGGCUUUGUGGGCUGAGCUUUGGGGAAAGGGCUUCUUGUUUCCAUAUCUCUGCAAAGUACGUCUUCCUAAAGGACACCUCAUUCCAACCCCUGCAAUGGGCAAGGCUGCCUUCAGCCAGGUCUUGGAUCUUGGAUUUUACACCCCUUCCUGCGUCCUUCCAGCUGCUGCCACCAGAACCUGGCGAUGUCCUGAUGGCAGCAGCUGGGAGAAAGGCAGAAUCUGAGCGGCUGGGUGCAGGAGUUUCCCAGGUGUCUCCUCACUCUUCUGCAGCCCUGUCAGAGCGCUGCUGCUGCUGGCAGCGCUGGGGAUCCUAUUGCUGGGGGUGGUUGUUGUCCAUGUCCUCACUGCACGCAGCAGAGAGCCAAAAGGAACGGAGCACCAAACGCCCAUGGAAGCAUCUGCAUCAGUCGUGCUCCAGCAGAGGAUGUUUGAGGCUGUCCUGCAAGGGCACCCAGGAAGCAAGCAGAAUGAGUGUCCCCACGUCCUUCCCCCAACCUGGCCCGUCCACGUUGCAGCAAAGAGAUGCUUCCCUUGGUUUUACUGUGUACAUUGCCCAAUAAAGCAUUGCUGAGCAUGGAGAGUACCAGACCCCGUGACGCCCCCAGUACAACUAAACACCCGAGCACUCUUCCCCCAUCGCUUCGGCACUUCUUUUGAGCCGUUUUCCUCUCCGAACUGAGCCGAGAACGCACCCGCUUGGCCCUCCCAGCGGUCCUUUCGUGCUCCCGGGUGCGUCUGAUUGGUGCAGCGCUGCAAUAUAUUUGCAUGGCCACGCCCUUUAUAGCCGCGCCCGUCCAUCCCGGCCACCCGGAAGUCCCUUUCCUCCUGUUGAAGCCUCUCUGCCCUGCCGCUCUCUAUGGUCAGCGGUCUUCCACGUGGCCCUACUUGUUCUGGGGGACCCCUGGAGACCCACCAGGUCCUCCCCGCUGUUCUUGGGGAUACCUCCAUGGGUGGGACACCCACACUGCUCUGUGCAGCAGCGCCAGGGCCUCACUGCCCUCUGAGUAAAGAAUUUAAGGUCCCUUGCAGCCCAACCCCUUUUGUUGUUCCAUGGUUCCGUGGUCUCUAAGGCCCGUUCCAACCCAACCGUUCUGUGAUUCCAUGGAUCUAUGAUCUUCCAGAUCUCUUCCCACCCAACUGUGCUGCGAUUCCGUGGUUCUGUUGUCUUUACAGCGCCCUCCAACCCAACCCCUUCUGUAUUUCCGUGCUUCUAUGAUCUUUAAAGGUCCAAGGGAGGAACGUUAUGGAGCUCCUGCAGUAGCUGCACACCACUGCUCUGCUGGUGUUGGCUGAUCAUUCACCCUCUGGAGGUGAAGCUGUGCUAUCAGUCGCUGCAAGCCAAGGCAGUGCCAGUGGCAUCAGCAAAGUCAGAAAUAUCCUGCUCUGCUCUGUGCUCUUUGCACCAUACUUGGAAUGCUGGUCUUGCUUUUUGCCAUUCAGAAAGGCUGGAGAUGGACUGGAGAGGAUUCAAAGCAGAACCGUGGGAUGCUCCAAGGGCUGGUGAGGGGCUGGACUUGUUCAGCCUGGAGAAAAGGCUCAGGAGACCUCAUCUGUGUGUCCCAGUAUUUGAUGUCUGUCUGCAAAGGAGUCAGACGCUCCUCAUUUACAAGGAACCAUGCAAAAAAAAUGGGGAAAUGGGCACCCGUGGCACUGGAGGAGAUUCCAGUUGGUCCCAAGAGGACAAUUUUGUCACUAUGGUAACAUGCAGACGCUGCAACAACUCCCCAGGGCCAUGGUGGAAACUAAUACUGGAGAAUGUAAGGUUUGGAUACACAAAGUGUUGGAUGUUCUGCUAUGGGAUGUGCUUUUAUCACAAUAGAUUGGACCACCUGACCUCUGAGGUCCCCUCCAACCUGAGCUUUGAUUUCUCCUAUCUCUGAUUUCUGUAAUUCCUAUUAAACCUCACAGUGUUGAUUCCUGGCAUCUCAGGACAGCCAUCCUUUGGGCUGUACCAAAGCAUCUCCAUUAACAUCUAACAAUGUACAGAGCUGGGAAAUGGCAAAAAUCUGCUCCAAUCCCCAAAGCUGCUGAGAUUUUGCUGCUUAGAGACAGAAG